RNAcentral lists this ribosomal RNA (435 nucleotides) under uncultured prokaryote. RNAcentral's name for it is "partial 16S ribosomal RNA". The record is from RNAcentral.
CCCUAUGGGGUGCAGCAGGAGCGGUUGCAGGCCAUGGUCCAGGAGAUGCUCUCGGACGUCGACGAAAACAAGGUUUAUCAUUAAGAGAUAUGGCGGAUCUAAAUGUACCGUAGCUCAAAACAUAGAACCGACUAUGUCUUUAAGGCAUCGUCUGGCUUAAUCGGUAUUUCAGCAACAGCCAACUCCCUAAGGGGCCGUAGAUAUACUCGUUGAGGAUGGAAAAUUACGCUUUCGUAGGAGCGGCAUCUUGCCGCGACGUUGCGCCGACAGGAUAAGCCCCCCAGAUCAAGCAUUCAAACCCGAACGGGUAUAUUUAUGGGGGAGUGAGACUUGGGCGCGGUGGGCAGGGCGCGACAGGAAGCGUUUGCAAUAAUAAAAGAAACGGGGCGCACCCUGUCCACCCUACGGUUGGUUUUCGGGGGGCGGCGGGAGAGC